Molecule: unclassified non-coding RNA, 1020 nt
Filed under: Hevea brasiliensis (rubber tree)
Lineage: Eukaryota; Viridiplantae; Streptophyta; Magnoliopsida; Malpighiales; Euphorbiaceae
Source: RNAcentral
AUUUACAAACAAGUUCAUACUAGGCAACUUUUGCUGUAACCCGUGGGCUAAAAGUAGCCUAGUAUGAACUUGUUUGUAAAUACUACUUAUUACUAGGUAUCUAUUGAAGUAAUUACAAUGACCUGUUGCCCAUGUAUCUUGAAAAACAGACUAACAACCGUGAAAAAGUUGUGAGAAUCCCAAUCUAAAUUAACCUUUUGCAUUGUACAUCAUUUGAUGAGCAAAAACAAGGAGAGAAAGAUGAGAGGAAACUGUAUUAGCCUGUUAAAAUUAGAAUUAAAUGAGCUUCUUUUUCUCGAAAAAGGUCUUCAGGUGCCAUACUUGCAAGCCUGCCACUGAUAGACAAAUAAGAAGUGAAAGAAAACUGAACCAGCCCAUUCUUGAGCUAGUAGCUCGAUUCAACUCUUGCAUUUCUUCUUCCCUUUCACGGAGAUAAUACAUCUCCUCCUGAAUAGAUAUAACCGUAUCAUGCAUCUUCUUCAGCUCUAAUUCCAUCAAAUCAAUAGAGCCUUUCUUGGCAACAUUAGUCCAGUCCUUAGCAGCCACACCAGUCUUCCAAUCAAAAUCUACAGUCAACGUAACUUCGGGCUUGUGAUCUGCCGCCCAGAAACAUACCAUGUAAUCCCCGGCCUCCGCCGCCGUAAACGCGAACUGCCCCGAUCCCACAUGGUCCGCAUAGUGAUAACUAUUCCCAUAACUCGACGUCACCCUGGCGGUGAGCUUGUGGGACUCCGGCAAAGGCUGGCCUUCGUGGGGGUUAACGAUGCUAUACUUGCCAACAGUCAUGGAAUUGCUUUUAAUAUCCUCUGAAAUGCACUUGGUGUGCCCAGAUUGCAGCUCGAAUCGAAGGGAUUGUGAUGUAGAGGAUAAAAUUCCAAGGAGUGUUAUUAUUGCAAUAACAGAAACCUGUAAUAUAGCCAUAAUCGCUGUCUUUUUAGCAGAGAGAGAAAAAUGGGUUUGUGUUUUGAUGAGGACUUUCAAGUGAAUGCCAGAAUCGAAUCGCGAUUGCUUGAAUUCCGG